RNAcentral lists this ribosomal RNA (449 nucleotides) under uncultured bacterium. RNAcentral's name for it is "bacterial SSU rRNA". It matches the Rfam family "Bacterial small subunit ribosomal RNA", at positions 330 to 793 of the family's 1533-position model. The record is from RNAcentral.
GCCAGACUCCUACGGGAGGCAGCAGUGGGGAAUAUUGGGCAAUGGGCGCAAGCCUGACCCAGCAACGCCGCGUGAAGGAAGAAGGCUUUCGGGUUGUAAACUUCUUUUCUAAGGGACGAAGAAAGUGACGGUACCUUAGGAAUAAGCUCCGGCUAACUACGUGCCAGCAGCCGCGGUAAUACGUAGGGAGCGAGCGUUAUCCGGAUUUACUGGGUGUAAAGGGCGUGUAGGCGGGAUGGCAAGUCAGGCGUGAAAACUAUGGGCUCAACCCAUAGCCUGCGUUUGAAACUGUCGUUCUUGAGUGAUGGAGAGGCAAGCGGAAUUCCGUGUGUAGCGGUGAAAUGCGUAGAUAUUAGGAGGAACACCAGUGGCGAAGGCGGCCUGCUGGACGACAACUGACGGUGAGGCGCGAAAGCGUGGGGAGCAAACAGGAUUAGAUACCCCAGUAA